AGUGAACGCUGGCGGUAGGCCCAACACAUGCAAGUCGAACGGCAGCACAGUAAGAGCUUGCUCUUACGGGUGGCGAGUGGCGGACGGGUGAGGAAUACAUCGGAAUCUACUUUUUCGUGGGGGGUAACGUAGGGAAACUUACGCUAAUACCGCAUACGACCUACGGGUGAAAGCAGGGGAUCUUCGGACCUUGCGCGAUUGAAUGAGCCGAUGUCGGAUUAGCUAGUUGGCGGGGUAAAGGCCCACCAAGGCGACGAUCCGUAGCUGGUCUGAGAGGAUGAUCAGCCACACUGGAACUGAGACACGGUCCAGACUCCUACGGGAGGCAGCAGUGGGGAAUAUUGGACAAUGGGCGCAAGCCUGAUCCAGCCAUACCGCGUGGGUGAAGAAGGCCUUCGGGUUGUAAAGCCCUUUUGUUGGGAAAGAAAAGCAGCAGGUUAAUACCCCGCUGUUCUGACGGUACCCAAAGAAUAAGCACCGGCUAACUUCGUG
RNAcentral lists this ribosomal RNA (492 nucleotides) under uncultured bacterium. RNAcentral's name for it is "partial 16S ribosomal RNA". It matches the Rfam family "Bacterial small subunit ribosomal RNA", at positions 29 to 507 of the family's 1533-position model. The record is from RNAcentral.